Molecule: ribosomal RNA, 440 nt
Filed under: uncultured bacterium
Lineage: Bacteria
Description: partial 16S ribosomal RNA
Rfam family: Bacterial small subunit ribosomal RNA
Source: RNAcentral
CCUACGGGUGGCAGCAGUAGGGAAUAUUGCUCAAUGGGCGAAACCCUGAAGCAGCAACGCCGCGUGGGGGAUGAAGGUUUUCGGAUUGUAAACCCCUUUUGUUAGGGAAGAUAAUGACGGUAUCUAACGAAUAAGCACCGGCUAACUCCGUGCCAGCAGCCGCGGUAAUACGGAGGGUGCAAGAGUUACUCGGAAUGACUGGGCGUAAAGAGCGCGUAGGCGGGAUUGCAAGUCAGAUGUGAAAUGCUAUGGCUUAACCAUAGAACUGCCUUUGAAACUGGUAUUCUGGAGUAUGGGAGAGGGAGGUGGAAUUCUUGGUGUAGGGGUAAAAUGCGUAGAGAUCAGGAAGAACACUAGUUGCGAAGGCGACCUGCUGGAACGUAACUGACGCUGAGGCACGAAAGCGUGGGGAGCAAACAGGAUUAGAUACCCGAGUAGUC